Molecule: ribosomal RNA, 407 nt
Filed under: uncultured bacterium
Lineage: Bacteria
Description: partial 16S ribosomal RNA
Rfam family: Bacterial small subunit ribosomal RNA
Source: RNAcentral
GACGAACGCUGGCGGCGUGCCUACUACAUGCAAGUAGGACGCAGUUGCGAACGGGUGAGUAACGCGUAGGUAACUACCUAUUAGAGGGGGAUAACUAUUGGAAACGCUAGCUAAUACCGCAUACUAGUAGAUGUACCUGCGUUGUAUUAGCUAGUAGGUAGGGUAAUGGCCUACCUAGGCAACGAUACAUAGCCGAUCUGGGAAGGGGAUUGGCCACACUGGGAAUGGGAAAAGGCCCAGAAUCCUACGGGAGGGAGCAAGAGGGAAUCUGCGGCAAUGGGGGGAAACCCGACCGAGUAACGCCGCGUGAGUGAAGAAGGUUUUCGGAUGGUAAAGCUCUGUUGUGAAGGAAGCGGUACUUAACAAGAAAGGGACGGCUAACUACGUGCCAGCAGCCGCGGUAAGGC